AAUUCUCGUGUCGCCAGUUCAAAUCUGGUUCCUG
This 34-nucleotide transfer RNA is filed under the name Erica hansfordii. RNAcentral describes it as "partial tRNA-Phe". Lineage: Eukaryota; Viridiplantae; Streptophyta; Magnoliopsida; Ericales; Ericaceae. The record is from RNAcentral.